This is a long non-coding RNA of Vicia villosa (hairy vetch), 1511 nucleotides long. RefSeq lists it as uncharacterized. The transcript is spliced from 3 exons. The record is from RefSeq and is a predicted model, not a curated record. Lineage: Eukaryota; Viridiplantae; Streptophyta; Magnoliopsida; Fabales; Fabaceae.
ACGUUCUCUCUCUUUCUCUAUAUCUCUCUUCCUCUUCCUCUUUCUUUUGUCUCUCUUUCUCUUUCUUUCUCUUUCAUUUCAUUUUCUCUCUUACCUAAUUUCUGAUAUUUCUUCUCAAAUUUAUUUACCUAAUUUCUUUCUCCUCCUAUCACCACCGCCACUGCCACUUAUGUGUUAUUUUCAUUUUUUUUACGUUAUUGUCAUAAAUGCAACAAAUAGCUUCAACGAUUCAGAUCUGGAAAAGGUUCUGAAAUAACGAAAAACUGGGUUAUUUGAGCAAGUGGGCUUCUUCUUCUUCUACCAUAUUAAAGGUUUUGUCAUUUUAACGUUUUUCUUUUUCCUCCCAGAUCUGCGUUUUUUGUUGUUACUGGGUUUUUCUACUUCUUCUAAAUUCAAAUCUGGGUUUUUGUAUGAUUUGUAUCUGGAAAAGGUAAAAGAUACAAACUUUUAUGGUUUUUCGUUUUCAAAUGCUUCAUUAUUUUAUUUAUUCAACAUCACUAACAUCAUUUUUAUUAUUUUCAUUUGAGAUAGGUUCUGAAAUAACGAAAAACUGGGUUAUUUGAGCAGGUGGGCUUCUUCUUCUUCUACCAUAUUAAAGGUUUUGUCAUUUUAACGUUUUUCUUUUUCCUCCCAGAUCUGCGUUUUUGUUGUUACUGGGUUUUUCUACUUCUUCUAAAUUCAAAUCUGGGUUUUUGUAUGAUUUGUAUCUAGAAAAGGUAAAAGAUACAAACUUUUGUGGUUUUUCGUUUUCAAAUGCUUCAUUAUUUUAUUUAUUCAACAUCACUAACAUCAUUUUUAUUAUUUUCAUUUGAGAUAGGUUCUGAAAUAACGAAAAACUGAGUUAUUUGAGCAGAUCUGCGUUUUUUGUUGUUACUGGAUUUUUCUACUUCUUCUAAAUUCAAAUCUGGGUUUUUGUAUGAUUUGUAGUUUUUCUCUCAGAUCUGAGUUUGUUUGUUGCAGAAGAUUACAAGAUUUUGGGAUGAAAUGUUGUAACUUGUAAGAAUGAGAAUUAGAGUUUUGAUUUUGAAAUUUUAUUUUUACAUUUUGAUCAACCAGGUAAAUAGUGAAAGAAAUCUGUAUAGGAAAUUUUUGAUCUAACAGAGAAAAUUAUAUCAUUAAUGUUGUUUGAUUUUUCUUCUGCACUUUUUAGUCUGGCUUUUUUUAGUUUUGAUUUUUAAUUGUUCUUUGCUUUUUUUAGUCAUGUCAUCAUGUUCACCAAGUACGUUUAAUAAAAUGAACUGCAGAUCAAGCUCUAGAAGAAUAUUGAUGUAGAAAAGUAUUCAUAAAGGAUGUUGAUGGAAAAAUAUUUGUUGAAAUUAAAUCCACUUGAAUGUCAUUAAUUUGUCAUAACUUUAUUUUGUUUUAAAUUUUAAUACUGAUUUUAUUUUGAUUAUAAAUAUAUAAAUAUGUUUAUGUCAUAUAAAAUUUAUUUAACAAUAAAUAUUUGUUGUUUAUGUAAAAAUAAUAUUGAAGUAAUUUUUUUAUACAUUUAAUUCAAUUAAAAUAAGAUG